Molecule: ribosomal RNA, 253 nt
Filed under: uncultured bacterium
Lineage: Bacteria
Description: partial 16S ribosomal RNA
Rfam family: Bacterial small subunit ribosomal RNA
Source: RNAcentral
UACGUAGGGUGCAAGCGUUGUCCGGAAUUAUUGGGCGUAAAGAGCUCGUAGGCGGUUUGUCGCGUCGGCUGUGAAAUCUCGGGGCUUAACCCCGAGCCUGCAGUCGAUACGGGCAGACUUGAGUUCGGUAGGGGAGACUGGAAUUCCUGGUGUAGCGGUGAAAUGCGUUGAUAUCAGGAGGAACACCCAUGGCGAAGGCAGCAAACUGGGCAUCAUCUGACGCUGAGGCGCGAAAGCGUGGGUAGCAAACAGG